AGCGAACGCUGGCGGCAGGCCUAACACAUGCAAGUCGAGCGCUCGUAGCAAUACGAGAGCGGCAGACGGGAGAGUAACACGUGGGAACGCGCCCUUCGGUUCGGAAUAACUCAGGGAAACUUGAGCUAAUACCGGAUACGCCCUUACGGGGAAAGAUUUAUCGCCGAAGGAACGGCCCGCGUCCGAUUAGCUAGUUGGUGAGGUAAUGGCUCACCAAGGCGACGAUCGGUAGCUGGUCUAAGAGGAUGAUCAGCCUCACUGGGACUGAGACACGGCCCAGACUCCUACGGGUGGCAG
Molecule: ribosomal RNA, 297 nt
Filed under: uncultured Pseudomonadota bacterium
Lineage: Bacteria; Pseudomonadati; Pseudomonadota
Description: uncultured proteobacterium partial 16S ribosomal RNA
Rfam family: Bacterial small subunit ribosomal RNA
Source: RNAcentral